AGAGGAAGUAAAAGUCGUAACAAGGUUUCCGUAGGUGAACCUGCGGAAGGAUCAUUAUUGAAAUAAACCUGAUGAGUUGCUGCUGGCUCUCUAGGGAGCAUGUGCACACUUGUCAUCUUUAUAUCUCCACCUGUGCACCUUUUGUAGAUCUGGAUAUCUCUCUGAGCGCUUAGCAACUCAGGUUUGAGGAUUGACUUUAUUGUCUCUCCUUACAUUUCCAGACCUAUGUUUCUUAUAUACCCCAAUGUAUGUCAUAGAAUGUAAUUAAUGGGCCUUUGUGCCUAUAAAUCUAUACAACUUUCAGCAACGGAUCUCUUGGCUCUCGCAUCGAUGAAGAACGCAGCGAAAUGCGAUAAGUAAUGUGAAUUGCAGAAUUCAGUGAAUCAUCGAAUCUUUGAACGCACCUUGCGCUCCUUGGUAUUCUGAGGAGCAUGCCUGUUUGAGUGUCAUUAAUAUAUAUCAACCUCUACACCUUUUGUUUGUUGAGUUGUUGGAUGUGGGGGCUCUUGCUGGCUUCUCUGAGGUCAGCUCCCCUGAAAUACAUUAGCGGAACGAUCCCCGUUCAUUGGUGUGAUAACUAUCUACGCUAUUGACGUGAAGUAGUUUGGCUUAUAACAGUCCAUUGACUUGGACAAAUUUUCAUUAAUGUGACCUCAAAUCAGGUAGGACUACCCGCUGAACUUAAGCAUAUC
Molecule: ribosomal RNA, 692 nt
Filed under: Thaxterogaster herpeticus
Lineage: Eukaryota; Fungi; Basidiomycota; Agaricomycetes; Agaricales; Cortinariaceae
Description: eukaryotic LSU rRNA
Rfam family: 5.8S ribosomal RNA (bases 296-449)
Source: RNAcentral